AGGACGAACGCUGGCGGCGCGCUUAACACAUGCAAGUCGAGCGAGAACCAGGGCUUCGGCUCUGGGGACAGCGGCGAACGGGUGAGUAACACGUGGGUAAUCAACCCUCGACAUCGGGAUAGCCCGGGGAAACCCGGAUUAAUACCGAAUGCUCCGUCUGGCCUUCGGGCCGGCCGGAAAAGGUAGCUUCGGACUCCGGUCGGGGACGAGCCCGCGGCGGAUUAGCUUGUUGGUGGGGUAAAGGCCCACAAGGCGACGAUCCGUAGCUGGUCUGAGAGGACGAUCAGCCACACUGGGACUGAGACACGGCCCAGACUCCUACGGGAGGCAGCAGUGGGGAAUCUUGCGCAAUGGGCGAAAGCCUGACGCAGCGACGCCGCGUGAGGGAAGAAGGCCUUCGGGUUGUAAACCUCUUUCAGGAGGACGAAGCCACUCGGGUUAAUAGCCCAGAGGUGACGGUACCUCCAGAAGAAGCCCGGCUAACUACGCGCCAGCAGCCGCGGUA
This 505-nucleotide ribosomal RNA is filed under the name uncultured bacterium. Its description in RNAcentral is "SSU rRNA". It matches the Rfam family "Bacterial small subunit ribosomal RNA", at positions 26 to 522 of the family's 1533-position model. The record is from RNAcentral.